CCUACGGGUGGCAGCAGUGAGGAAUAUUGGUCAAUGGGCGUAAGCCUGAACCAGCCAAGUCGCGUGAAGGAUGAAGGUUCUAUGGCUCGUAAACCUCUUUUAUAAGUGAAUAAAGUGCGGGACGUGUCCCGUUUUGUAUGUACCUUAUGAAUAAGGAUCGGCUAACUCCGUGCCAGCAGCCGCGGUAAUACGGAGGUUCCGAGCGUUAUCGGGAUUCAUUGGGCUUAAAGGGAGCGUAGGCGGGAGUUCAAGUCAGCUGUAAAAUCGCGCGGCUCAACCGCGACGCGCAGUUGAAACGUGACGCCUGGAGUUCACAACAGGCAGGCGGAAUUCGUGGUGUAGCGGUGAAAUGCAUAGAUAUCACGAGGAACCCCGAUUGCAAAGGCAGCCUGCCGGGGCGCGACUGACGCUGAGGCUCGAAGGUGCGGGUAUCAAACAGGAUUAGAUACCCCGGUAGUC
RNAcentral lists this ribosomal RNA (459 nucleotides) under uncultured bacterium. Its description in RNAcentral is "partial 16S ribosomal RNA". It matches the Rfam family "Bacterial small subunit ribosomal RNA", at positions 338 to 795 of the family's 1533-position model. The record is from RNAcentral.